Molecule: ribosomal RNA, 387 nt
Filed under: Triticum aestivum (bread wheat)
Lineage: Eukaryota; Viridiplantae; Streptophyta; Magnoliopsida; Poales; Poaceae
Description: partial small subunit ribosomal RNA
Source: RNAcentral
AUGCCUUUGGGUUGCAUCAUGUCCUUCCAAGAAACCCAGUGUGGCUUUCACUGUCCAUCUAUACUUCCCCACCAAAAUUUCCUGAUUAACAUGUUUAGUUUCCCACAUAGACCCCUUGAAAGCUUGAAGCAAGACAUAGAGUAUACGGGCACAACUUGGGCUACUGACUUUACCAAAUUUUCUUUCCCAGACAUUGACAUAGUUCUUUCAAUCUAUCCCUGGACCCUGCUCCAUAAGCGAUCCUUUAAGUAUUUAAAUGCCCCAUUCGUGGAUGACCUCGCAUCAGAUGGCAUCCCAAGAUAUUUUUCGUUCAAUGUCUCGUUUGCAACUUGUAGCAAGCCCUUUAUGUCCGUCCUAAUAUUUUUAGGGACACCUUUACUGAAGUAG